UAGGGAAUCUUCGGCAAUGGACGAAAGUCUGACCGAGCAACGCCGCGUGAGUGAAGAAGGUUUUCGGAUCGUAAAACUCUGUUGGUAGAGAAGAACGUUGGUGAGAGUGGAAAGCUCAUCAAGUGACGGUAACUACCCAGAAAGGGACGGCUAACUACGUGCCAGCAGCCGCGGUAAUACGUAGGUCCCGAGCGUUGUCCGGAUUUAUUGGGCGUAAAGCGAGCGCAGGUGGUUUAUUAAGUCUGGUG
RNAcentral lists this ribosomal RNA (248 nucleotides) under uncultured bacterium. RNAcentral describes it as "partial 16S ribosomal RNA". It matches the Rfam family "Bacterial small subunit ribosomal RNA", at positions 355 to 594 of the family's 1533-position model. The record is from RNAcentral.